Long non-coding RNA from Daucus carota subsp. sativus, 1500 nucleotides. RefSeq lists it as uncharacterized. Lineage: Eukaryota; Viridiplantae; Streptophyta; Magnoliopsida; Apiales; Apiaceae. The record is from RefSeq and is a predicted model, not a curated record. The transcript has 2 exons.
GGUUAUUGUGUUAUUGAUAAAUGAUUAUAUUUUUAAAACUGAUUUUCAUAUAUUGUUUCGAAAAUUCUAGAUGAUUAUUAUGUGAAUAUAUGUGUGAGGUGAGUAAGUGGUAUUGGUGGAUUUGUUGGUUAAUUAAUUAUGGUUAAUUAUGAGUAUUAUAUGAUUAAUAUAUGAAUUUUUGUGAAUUUUAUAUUAUCUGGUUUAUUGCGUUAACUGCUCAUAUGUGUUCGUAUUUGAGAGAUUUCAAUUUCUAUAUGCUCAGGAGAAAAUAUAGUUUAUUUGGAUAUUUUCAUAUCGAUUUAUGGAAUGUUAGAUGAUUUUAUAAUCGAUUUACGGAUUUAAUUGCGUAUAUUUAUAUUUAUUUAUUAAUUAUUUGACUUCCGUAAAACCGUCCACUCGUAACGAGGUAGCAAAUUUUCUUUCCGGAAGUUUCAACAAAACUGACCUUUAGCCUAAUUUGAAUAUUCCGGACACUUUUCGUGUUUUGACUUUUUCGAUCCGGAGUACGGUUUUUCCCGGAGUCGGUCCGGCGGAGUUUUGCGGGUAUUUGAAUUGUUGAUAAUUAUCUAGUUUGCCUCGAAAUACGUGAAAGCUAGAUAUUUUGAUUAUUAUAUUACUUUUUAUCGAAAUACGUGCAAAUGGGACCCGCAGACUAAUCAUUGCUUUUAAAAGCCCCGUUUUGAUGAUUAUCUUGAAAACCAGUACCGAUUGGACCCCGCUUUAUUAAUAUAAAGCUAUUAAAUACGUAUUUUCAUGUCAUACACGAUCCAAAGGGGUACCAAUUAUUUGUAAAUAUAAAUAGACCUUUCUAGAGCUUAUUUUCACCGUAGAAAUCAUUUCACCAGUUUCUCUGCACGAAUACCGAGAGAAACCAAGCGGUGUUCUUCGUGUUCUUCAUAAUCAAACGAAGAUUUGAAGGUGUUAUUGGAAUCCGAUGGAGCCGUAUGAAUAGUCAAAACGAAGCUAUCGACGCGUAGAAUCCAGUUUAAUCAAUCAUAACCGUGCAGAUUUCACGGGAUUUGGACGAGACGUGUAUGCCCGAAGACGUUCAGAAAGUCACGUGGUGUUACAAAGCGAAUAAGGGAUGAAUCGAGUAAGCGAAGCAAAGAUGUACGGUAGAUAGAGUAUAGCCAGAGAUGGUCUAGAGACUAUGAGAUGCAUAGAUUGUGAAAGUGGAAAGAUGAGAUUGAGAUUGUGAAUAAGGCUAAUGCUAGGCGAGGAGACAGAAUUGAGGAUCCAGUGGUCGAGGAGUGUUCAGGAAAGUUGAUGAGGUUGGUGCAAGCUAGAGCUGUGCUAUAGGGAUUCAAGUGUAAGUCAUAGCUGGAAUAGUUGACAGUGAUUCUUCUUAUCGAAGAUGAUCUGAUUUGGUAAGAAAUGUUGUGUAAUAUUAGUGGUGGAUUCUAAUUUCAAUACUGUAACCUAGAUGCGAUCCUGUUGCUUUUAGGGGGUUGAAAUGUUCUCUUUCGAAUCAAUUAUUAAAGUUUAAAUGUUCUCUUGAAA